CCUUGUUUUUUAUCAGUGCUGAGAAGAAAUUAUAAAAUAGCCUUGUUUAGACUAAUUUUAUCACAGUUUCAGAGUGACGUUGUUUGAUGCUGGCAUUCCACAGAUUGUAUAUGUCCAACAAGAGAACAGUGUGGUCCAGCUGUGAGUGCCACACCAGCUUCAAACAACAGAAAGCUGUCUAUAUUUAUAGGUGUUGGGCAUCACAGGGGAAACGAGACUGAUAAGGUCCCUGGUUUCUUGGAGCUGCUCUUCUGGUGGUGAUUCUAGAUACUGACACCUACAAUGAAGAAAUUAAUGCAGGCAGAUGGGACAGGGAUCGCUGGUGGAGAGGCUACUUCCUAAAAUGUGGGCUGGAAAAGCCUUUCUAGGUGAUGACAUUUGAACCAAGACUUGAAUGCUGAGAAGGAACUGGAGAAGGUCUUAAGGCAUUCCAUGUGGGAGAAAGAAAAGUGUAAAUUCCAGAGAACAGGAUGUCUGUGUGGCCGGGGCACUGGAGCACAGUGAGAUGGGGAGAGUCACGGGACCAGAUGGAGGCUUGGCUGGUCGUGGUGAGAAAACUGAGGAACAAAAAGGUUAAGUGACUGGCUAAAGAUCACCCAGAUGGGAAGCACUAGAAUAGAGACUCACACUCAGGCAUCUGAUUCUAGAGAAGCUUGAUCUUCUUCCAGUGUGUCCUAGGAUCCAGU
Long non-coding RNA from Bubalus bubalis (water buffalo), 686 nucleotides. RefSeq lists it as uncharacterized. Lineage: Eukaryota; Metazoa; Chordata; Mammalia; Artiodactyla; Bovidae. The transcript is spliced from 3 exons. The record is from RefSeq and is a predicted model, not a curated record.